GCGGGAGUAGCUCAGCGGUAGAGCACCACCUUGCCAAGGUGGGGGUCGCGAGUUCGAGCCUCGUCUCCCGCUCCA
RNAcentral lists this transfer RNA (75 nucleotides) under Pectinatus haikarae. RNAcentral's name for it is "tRNA-Gly". It matches the Rfam family "tRNA". From Rfam's summary of the family: Transfer RNA (tRNA) molecules are approximately 80 nucleotides in length. Lineage: Bacteria; Bacillati; Bacillota; Negativicutes; Selenomonadales; Selenomonadaceae. The record is from RNAcentral.